AGUGAACGCUGGCGGUAGGCCUAACACAUGCAAGUCGAACGGCAGCACAGUAAGAGCUUGCUCUUACGGGUGGCGAGUGGCGGACGGGUGCGGAAUACAUCGGAAUCUACUUUUUCGUGGGGGAUAACGUAGGGAAACAUACGCUAAUACCGCAUACGACCUACGGGUGAAAGCAGGGGAUCUUCGGACCUUGCGCGAUUGUAUGAGCCGAUGUCGGAUUAGCUAGUUGGCGGGGUAAAGGCCCACCAAGGCGACGAUCCGUAGCUGGUCUGAGAGGAUGAUCAGCCACACUGGAACUGAGACACGGUCCAGACUCCUACGGGAGGCAGCAGUGGGGAAUAUUGGACAAUGGGCGCAAGCCUGAUCCAGCCAUACCGCGUGGGUGAAGAAGGCCUUCGGGUUGUAAAGCCCUUUUGUUGGGAAAGAAAAGCAGCAGGUUAAUACCCCGCUGUUCUGACGGUACCCAAAGAAUAAGCACCGGCUAACUUCGUG
Molecule: ribosomal RNA, 492 nt
Filed under: uncultured bacterium
Lineage: Bacteria
Description: partial 16S ribosomal RNA
Rfam family: Bacterial small subunit ribosomal RNA
Source: RNAcentral